CCUACGGGAGGCAGCAGUGGGGGAUAUUGCACAAUGGGGGAAACCCUGAUGCAGCGACGCCGCGUGGGUGAAGAAGCGCCUCGGCGCGUAAAGCCCUGUCAGCAGGGAAGAAAAUGACGGUUCCUGAAGAAGAAGCCCCGGCUAACUACGUGCCAGCAGCCGCGGUAAUACGUAGGGGGCAAGCGUUAUCCGGAUUUACUGGGUGUAAAGGGGGCGCAGACGGCGAAGCAAGCCAGGAGUGAAAGCCCGGGGCCCAACCCCGGGACUGCGUUUGGAACUGCGUGGCUAGAGUGCAGGAGGGGCAGGCGGAAUUCCUGGUGUAGCGGUGAAAUGCGUAGAUAUCAGGAGGAACACCGGUGGCGAAGGCGGCCUGCUGGACUGCAACUGACGUUGAGGCCCGAAAGCGUGGGGAGCAAACAGGAUUAGAUACCCCAGUAGUC
This 440-nucleotide ribosomal RNA is filed under the name uncultured bacterium. RNAcentral's name for it is "partial 16S ribosomal RNA". It matches the Rfam family "Bacterial small subunit ribosomal RNA", at positions 338 to 795 of the family's 1533-position model. The record is from RNAcentral.